UACGGGGGGGGCAAGCGUUGUUCGGAAUUACUGGGCGUAAAGGGCUCGUAGGUGGCCAACUAAGUCACACGUGAAAUCCCACGGCUCAACCGUGGAACUGCCGGGCAUACUGGCGAUCUUGAGGCAUUCAGGGGCGAGCGGAACAAGUGGUGGAGCGGUGAAAUGCGUAGAUAUCACUUGGAACGCCAAUGGUGAAAACAGCUCGCUGGGAAUGAUCUGACACUGAGACGCGAAAGCCAGGGGAGCGAACGGG
This 253-nucleotide ribosomal RNA is filed under the name uncultured bacterium. RNAcentral describes it as "partial 16S ribosomal RNA". It matches the Rfam family "Bacterial small subunit ribosomal RNA", at positions 524 to 776 of the family's 1533-position model. The record is from RNAcentral.